Molecule: long non-coding RNA, 669 nt
Filed under: Gossypium barbadense (sea-island cotton)
Lineage: Eukaryota; Viridiplantae; Streptophyta; Magnoliopsida; Malvales; Malvaceae
Description: long non-coding RNA (GBAR_LNC000904)
Source: RNAcentral
GGGAUUGCCUUAUGUAUGACUGUCUUUGAGACUAAAGUCUCGCCCAUCAAGCCCGAACCACCAAACUCAAAGCCGAUUUGAAAGAUCUUCUGUCAAAAGCUGCAUCGAAAUAAAUUACCACCCUCGUGUUCCCUUCAUGUUAUCUCUACCUUCUAUCAACACAUGAGGUAAACGUCCUUUUCUCUAGACCAUCUAGCUCUACCAUGUAGCUUUGGAUUCGCUUCGACAAAUCCUUUCCCGUUAUGACUUUCCCCUCGUGUAUUAGCUGAUUUCUUGAACUCCAGAUUGACCAUAAAGCACAGCAAAAAAGUCGAUAUUGUUUACUAAUACUCAUGUUGAAAACUCAGGUAAGCCACUCCCAUAAACUUGGAAUAGUAUUAUUGAUAAUCCAAGAGAGAUUUAAAGUCUGCCAUACCUCUAUUGUUGUAGGGCAGUCCUGGAAAACAUGAUUGCUGUCUUCUUCUGAAUUAUGACACUAAAGACAAAAAAAUUCACUGCCACUCUUUUGUGUCUGAGAUUAAUUAGAGUAGGGACAUAGUUCCAGGAGAUUCACAAUAUUGUGAUUGUAAUUUUUAAAGGAAGAUGUAAAUUCCAUAAUUUCUUGUAGAAAUCUUUAAUCUCGACCUUUAUUAAAUUAGUACUAGAAUCUAAGUUAGCCUUUUGUAAUAG